Rhodocollybia butyracea is the source of this 81-nucleotide non-coding RNA. Lineage: Eukaryota; Fungi; Basidiomycota; Agaricomycetes; Agaricales; Omphalotaceae. The record is from the annotation of a GenBank genome assembly.
UCCGAUAUGGUGUAGUGGUUAACAUUAUCGCCUCUCAAGGUCGUGACGCGAUAGCCUGGGGUUCGAUUCCCCAUAUCGGAA